CCCGGUGGUAAUGGCGGAGGGGUCACACCUGUUCCCAUCCCGAACACAGUAGUUAAGCCCUCCAGCGCCGAUGGUACUGCAGUUUUUCUGUGGGAGAGUAGGACACUGCCGGGA
RNAcentral lists this ribosomal RNA (114 nucleotides) under Candidatus Levybacteria bacterium RBG_16_35_6. RNAcentral also lists the same sequence under 2 other names. The record is from RNAcentral. Lineage: Bacteria; Candidatus Levyibacteriota.